This is a long non-coding RNA of Gasterosteus aculeatus aculeatus (three-spined stickleback), 322 nucleotides long. RefSeq lists it as uncharacterized. The record is from RefSeq and is a predicted model, not a curated record. NCBI's taxonomy places the organism in Eukaryota, Metazoa, Chordata, Actinopteri, Perciformes, Gasterosteidae.
CCCUCCCUCCCUCUCUCUCUCUCUCUCUCUGCUGGGCGCGAUGCUUCGGCUCCGGCGUCCGUGCGUAAAGACGCGUGCAGGAGACACGGGCAACAUCCGGCACAAAGCAAACGGACGUGAGCAGUCAGAGAAUUAAACCACUGCUUCCUCCGGGGGCUCAACGAGGACGCAAACCACUGCCUGCACGAGGUUAUCACAUUUCAAUUAAACAUCAUGGAUUCAAGUAUGAGGAACUUUAAAAAAUGAUGAGGAAUAACAACUUGAAAAUGACCAGAGCUUCAACUACUGAGUUGUAUUACUAAAAUAAAUAAAUCCAAACGAU